AUUGAACGCUGGCGGAAUGCUUUACACAUGCAAGUCGAACGGCAGCACGGACUUCGGUCUGGUGGCGAGUGGCGAACGGGUGAGUAAUAUAUCGGAACGUAUCCAAUAAUGGGGGAUAACUAAUCGAAAGGUUGGCUAAUACCGCAUACGUCCUACGGGAGAAAGCUAGGGACCUUCGGGCCUGGCGUUAAUGGAGCGGCCGAUAUCGGAGUAGCUAGUUGGUGAGGUAAAGGCUCACCAAGGCGACGAUCCGUAGCUGGUAUGAGGGGUAGACCAGCCACAAUGGAACUGAGACACGGACCAGAAUCCGGCGGGAGGCAGCAGUGGGGAAUUUUGGACAAUGGGCGAAAGCCUAAUCCAGCCAUUCCGCGUGAGUGAAGAAGGCCUUCGGGUUGUAAAGCUCUAUCGAAAGAGAAGAAAACUUACCCUCUAACAUAGGGUGAGGUUGACGGUAUCUUGAUAAGAAGCACCGGCUAACUACGUGCCAGCCGCCGCCGUAA
RNAcentral lists this ribosomal RNA (500 nucleotides) under uncultured bacterium. RNAcentral's name for it is "partial 16S ribosomal RNA". It matches the Rfam family "Bacterial small subunit ribosomal RNA", at positions 30 to 523 of the family's 1533-position model. The record is from RNAcentral.